Molecule: long non-coding RNA, 348 nt
Organism: Rattus norvegicus (Norway rat)
Lineage: Eukaryota; Metazoa; Chordata; Mammalia; Rodentia; Muridae
Source: RefSeq, a predicted model, not a curated record
UCAGAGAGGUUUAGGUUACACAGCUGGCUUUCUCGACAGCCCACAUUGAAAGUAUUCGGGGCCAAAUGAAAAGUUGGAGGAGAACAAGAUGGAGACAGGAGAUGAGAAGAAGCCGAAGGAGAUGGUGUCCCAGUGCUGGAGAAUACCGAAGCAGGAAACAAUGGUCAUGGAGAUGGAACAGGGUACCAAGCCAGAACUCGGACCUGAGAGGACCUAGCAAAGGGGCCUGAGUGGUGGAACCUGGGACAUUAAACUGGAGGAGCCUGCCCAGUCUGAGACAUUGGAAUAAGAGGUGGACUUGGAAUAUUUGAAUGUGGGUGUGAAUAAAACCAAACUGGUUAUAAAAUA